This 74-nucleotide transfer RNA is filed under the name Bodianus mesothorax (splitlevel hogfish). RNAcentral's name for it is "tRNA-Val". The record is from RNAcentral. Lineage: Eukaryota; Metazoa; Chordata; Actinopteri; Labriformes; Labridae.
CGAGGUAUAGCUAAACAACGAAUAGCGUCUCCCCUACGCUGAGAAGGCAUCCGUGCAAACCGGGUUACCUCGAC